UGGUGGGGUGACUUGCCUGCUUAAUUGCGAUAACGAACGAGACCUUAACCUGCUAAAUAGCCCGCAUUGCUCCGGCAGUGCGCUGGCUUCUUAGAGGGACUUUCGGCUCAAGCCGAAGGAAGUUUGAGGCAAUAACA
Molecule: ribosomal RNA, 137 nt
Filed under: uncultured eukaryote
Lineage: Eukaryota
Description: partial 18S ribosomal RNA
Rfam family: Eukaryotic small subunit ribosomal RNA
Source: RNAcentral